AAGUCGAGCGAACGGACGAGAAGCUUGCUUCUCUGAUGUUAGCGGCGGACGGGUGAGUAACACGUGGAUAACCUACCUAUAAGACCGGGAUAACUUCGGGAAACCGGAGCUAAUACCGGAUAAUAUUUUGAACCGCAUGGUUCAAAAGUGAAAGACGGUCUUGCUGUCACUUAUAGAUGGAUCCGCGCUGCAUUAGCUAGUUGGUAAGGUAACGGCUUAGCCAAGGCAACGAUGCAUAGCCGACCUGAGAGGGUGAUCGGCCACACUGGAACUGAGACACGGUCCAGACUCCUACGGGAGGCAGCAGUAGGGAAUCUUCCGCAAUGGGCGAAAGCCUGACGGAGCAACGCCGCGUGAGUGAUGAAGGUCUUCGGAUCGUAAAACUCUGUUAUUAGGGAAGAACAUAUGUGUAAGUAACUGUGCACAUCUUGACGGUACCUAAUCAGAAAGCCACGGCUAACUACGUGCCAGCAGCCGCGGUAAUACGUAGGUGGCAAGCGUUAUCCGGAAUUAUUGGGCGUAAAGCGCGCGUAGGCGGUUUUUUAAGUCUGAUGUGAAAGCCCACGGCUCAACCGUGGAGGGUCAUUGGAAACUGGAAAACUUGAGUGCAGAAGAGGAAAGUGGAAUUCCAUGUGUAGCGGUGAAAUGCGCAGAGAUAUGGAGGAACACCAGUGGCGAAGGCGACUUUCUGGUCUGUA
RNAcentral lists this ribosomal RNA (698 nucleotides) under uncultured Staphylococcus sp. Its description in RNAcentral is "bacterial SSU rRNA". It matches the Rfam family "Bacterial small subunit ribosomal RNA", at positions 59 to 738 of the family's 1533-position model. Lineage: Bacteria; Bacillati; Bacillota; Bacilli; Caryophanales; Staphylococcaceae. The record is from RNAcentral.